Long non-coding RNA from Rattus norvegicus (Norway rat), 6888 nucleotides. RefSeq lists it as uncharacterized. The record is from RefSeq and is a predicted model, not a curated record. Lineage: Eukaryota; Metazoa; Chordata; Mammalia; Rodentia; Muridae.
CUUCCUCCCCCAGCACCCUCACUACACCGCUGCAGAGCUCCUCGGACACGCUCCCUUUCUGGCAGCACACAUAUUCUCUUGUGGUUCCAUUUUUUACACAGGCUGUUUCUAGAGAAUCCUCAUACUCUGUAAAGCUGGGGGACAUUUCCGAAGAUGAUUAGAUUGUAAGGGUUCUGACCUAACAAAUUCAAUCCACUGACGAAUCCGAAUUUUGGAUGGACACCUGGAAGGCGGUGGAAAAUGGAAGAGACACAAAGUUGGAGAAAGUAAAUCUUUGGGGGGCCUGCGCUGAACGCACACCUGGUCCAGGCCUCUUACUGUGCUUUCCUUUGCUUCCUGGCUACUGUAAGGACCAAUGAACGGAACAUAGCAUGGUGCCCUGGGACAUCAAAUAGAUCAACCAAGCUCUUCUCAGCUGACCGAACACAGGGACCCUGGAAUCCAGGACGUUUAGAGCUAAAACUGCCUCCUUGUCGUCUGCAGCUCAGAGACAUCCCUUCUAGCCAAUGUGCUGGAAGCCAGUGGUCAGGGCACCAGUUCUAGAACCCUCUGAAAGAGCUCUGCAUGUUCUCUAUCUAAGUGCUGACACAUAAAGGACAAGGAGGAAAUCGAUUCCGGGAAACGAGCCUCUGUGGUCCUUCACUGCACAUCAUCUCUACUCCUCUGAUAGCUCUGACAUUGGUGUGAACAUUGUGCUAUGCCUAGCAUUUCAGGCUUCUAGAACUAUAUUAGAUGGGUUUGGAGAACUAUUCCAUAACUCACAGAAGCAACAAAAACUACAGGGAAGAACUCAUGAAGCCUCCUUGGGGAAAAGACUUGUGACCACAGGAUGAUUGCACGUAUCCCAUGCCAAUGAGAUCUGUUUCUCAUUUCGUGUUCCAAACAUGUGUAAAGACCACAGCUUGCUGGUAAUGUCUCAGGAAGGAACCUUGACAAGUCCAGAAUCACUGUAUGCAAGAUCCCCAUGAAGAGGAAAGGGUGAGCUUGAGCACGCUCUGCUGUAGUUCCAGAUUCGGAUGUUCUGAAAUCUUAGACGUCGUCCUCAACAGACUGAAUACAGCUUUCUGAGAGACAGAUUUUGGUUUCGUUGGGUUUUUGUCGUUGGUGAGUGAGUGUGUGGUGUGUGUGUGUGUGUGUGUGUGUGUGUGUGUGUGUGUGUGUGUGUGUGGUGUGUGUGUGUGUGUGUGUGUGUGUGUGUGUGUGUGUGUGUGUGGUGUGUAUCCUGGAUGUUCCGCGGAACCUGCUCUGGAGACAAGACUGGCCUCCAACUCAACUCUGCCUCCCGCAUGCUGGGAUUAAAGGCGCGUGCCCACUGCCCCACCCCCUGCCUGCCUAAGAAUGGCUUUUCAACAAAGCUGUUCGUCCUUUCCAGUGGCCACUGUUCCACAGUUCAAGUCCCAUAAUUCAAGCCCCACAGUUCAAGAGCGUUGUUUAGUCCGCAGUAGGGAAGGCAAAGAAGUCAGCAAAAUCCCACCUAAGGGCGCCCAGCCGUAGGAACACCUCCAACGCAUGACUGAUGAAAAGGUGGAUAAGGAAAACCGGUCGGUGCUAUCAUCCGCAGCACCCACUCCUUCGGGCUCAGCUACCAACAGUUCUUCAACAGAGACGUUUCAGAAAGCCACUGUGCCGUUGCCCUGCACCAUAAACUCAGGAGACGCCCCCUUCCUUCCCUUAUCUCCUGCAGCCUCGCCUCUGAGCAGCUAUGGCUCCGCGAACAUCAUGGAUACACUCAGAAGAGCGAUAACGCACGGGCUCUCGUUCUCAGUGAUAACCACGGCCCGUUCCGCUUUCUGUUCUCAUGCUCAACCAAAUAGCCUCCAGCCUGGGAGAUGUAUCAGUUUAUUACAGGCCCUAACUUUGAAACUUACAAAUAUGAGUCAAACCAGAGGGACUGAGAAACAAAGGAACACUGUGUAAACCCAGCAAGCCUGAGUUAAAAUAUAUAUAUUCAAUAUUUAAUAAAUAAAUUAUAUUUAUAUAUUUAAUAUAUAUCUUUUGACCAAAUUAGCAACAGACAUUUCAUCUCCCAGAUCAGUGCGUUCAUUUACUUCAGGACUGGCUUACAGUGCACCUCUGUCAUCUACUGACCCUCUCCACACACUACUACACACCGCUGUGUAUGUCUGGCACCACCAGAGAGCAGGCAUUGAACUAUGUAUGAGCCAGAAGCAGACCGCCGUAGCUGGCUCCAGCCACUUCCGUCAUUGAUAUCCUUGGGCAAUUUCUCUGAAACUCUGAACGCAAUUUUCUGCACGAGGUUGCUACGAUGCCAGAGACAGGUGAAGCUAAGAAAGCUUCCGGGUCUAACCAAUGCAUGAGCACACACCUAAUUUUGAAUUCCAAUUUCGUGUCCUUUUCUUAAGGGAAAGUCCCCAAUUUUAAUAAGCUUGAAGGCCCAGAAAACAUGAUUCUGUCUCCUAAUAACACCUGUUCUAUUUCAUUCUGGGAGCCAGGAUAGAAACAGCCUCUCUUUGGCUCCAACGUUGCUCUGUAGCCCGUGCUGAUACCAUGUAAUAGGUGAGCCUUAUUGGUGUCCCUGUAAGCCCCUUGAAGUACGUGAGCCCCCACCCCAGGGCUCAACUGCCAGGUUCUACUCACAGAACACUCCAACUGCCCUAACGGCUGGACCCAGCCCCUGCCCUACAGAGUAAAAAACCCAAACUCAGGAUUUGACAUUCCAUCCAUCCAGGAGCUCAUCCCAAGCCCUAGACUUGAAACCCCACCAUUCCCCACCUUGGAGAUCUCCACCCUAGAAAGCCCCUACCCUCAAGAAAUCCUAUAUAAGCCCUGCCUGCUACUCAGCUCUCUGCUGGUUCUCACCCGAGCAGAGGCAGCCACCCUCCUGGGUGUGGCUUUGUGGUAGUCCUUGGUUCUCGACUGCCAUCGACCUUUCCCCGAAGAGCAGUGGCACUCUCAAUCCCCCUUGAGUGUCUGCAAAGAGCUCACACUUGGUUCCUUCUCUAGACAACUGACCUUGGCUACACAGUAGACCUUGUCUUAAAGUUUACACUACAACCCCCACUGAAGACAGUUAUCCAGUCUGGUGUUGGGGGUGGCCCUCUGUACAAAAUGCCACCAGAGGACCAACACAGUGAUACUCAGACCAAAGCUAGGCUCCCUCUGCAGUCAUAGCCAUGCACAGCUCCUCCCCCUGUCCAAUCUUCUUCCCCCUUCUUCCCACAUGUCCCCCUCAGACAACGUGCCUGGAUUCCUACCCGGGACAGCUUUUGGAGAAUCCAAUCUCAGACAGAACGUGAUCAGAUCAGAAGAAAUCGGCUACUUUCUGUAUCGAAGGUUGCCUAGGCCACUCUUCAGUCAAAUGCCAUGAGCCUCAAAUACCACUCACAGCCAAUGUUAACACAGAAGCAAAUCAAAGCUUCGCCAGCAAGCCGUGAAGAUGCAAAUCCAAGCCUGGGGUAUCGUUCAAGGAAGCAAAGAGCAGACAGGUCUCGGUAGCGUAGGCUAGCCCCUGCCUGUGGAAUGGACUAUGUGUCGAAGAUGAUCUUGAACCUCUUGUUCUCCUGCCUCAGCCUCUCGUAUACUGAGUUCCAAGCACAUGACGGCAUGACCAGGGAGUCAAAGUUCUUUCCUGAAGUCUCCCUCUUUCCUUUCUCGUUUCAGCUCAACUCCUUCCUCGUGGUUCUGCUAGGCGACCAGGCUAUGAGGACCGAUGAUGUCUGCGUCCCUCCCCACUCCAUAAUAACGAGGACCAACAAGGAACUGUUUGCCUUCCCCUCUUUUGGCAGAACCCGAUUCAAGCAUCCCAUUCAAAUGCCCAAAAUCCUCAAGUAGGGUUAAGGGUUCUUAAUGAAGUCUCUGGCCUCCUGCCAGAGGGAGUUGGAGAAAGGCAACCCACGAUGACAGGGCUAAUGAGUACAUUUUCAAGCAGAAAUCACUGCAUCCUUGCAAUCACGGCAGCAGUGGAAAAGUCAAAAUUGAAUUACUCUCUGUACUCAGAAGGCAGUAGGCCCAGCCCCAGGGCACUGCUGCCUGGCCCUGGUCAUGAUGCAAUUAUCCAGCUGACCUCCGAAGUCAGUGGGUGCAGGUCUUUUGAGCAAGCAGCUGACACUCUUAGCUUGGCCUCCUGGGACUAUACCAAGGCCAAUUAACCAGAGGUCGCCUGAGUUUGACAAGGAUGGUUGGCCAAUACUAAGUCCACGGUAGACUGCUGUGGACUCACUGGCCAUGAGCUGGAACAUGGUGAUCAAAAGGCUCAGAGAAGACUAAGCAACCAUUGAUUACAAGACCAAAGUCCCAGGGCAGAGAGGUACAUGUGGUACUACUCCCUCAGAGAUUGUCCCAGUACUGUUCCCCAAGCCAGAACAGCAGACCAAGGGCUUAACCAAGUUUUUAUUACGCUCCCGAGGACUUUGUAUGUCUACCGUGGAUUCUAAGAGCUGUAAAUAGCAAACGAUGUUGUUGAAAAGUCUGCUGCCUCUGAGAUAUGGAGGUGUUUGUGUCCUGGAAUGAAAGUUAGCCCGAGCUCAGCUACACAUAGGUCCGAUUGAUCUGCAGUGAGGUGGGGACGUUUGUUUGUUUUUACCACUUUCCUGGUGAGUCCAAUGGUCAGCGCGGGGUGUAUAAGCCAUUCCUGGAUUAGGAUGGACUAGGGGCAUCAUGGCAUCAAUUUCUAGGGAACUCGACUAGGAGAUGAAAAGCGGGCUAAGACAUACAGACCUGAAAUGCUUUCGGAACUCCCCCUCCCUCUACCUUCCUCCCCCUCUCCUUCCCCCUCCCCCAUCUGUCUCUCUCACACAGGGUUUCACAAAUGCUGAGCUAACAAGAGUAAGUGACCACGACAACCUACUGAACCUUCUGAUGUCUUUCAAAGUUAAUGCUGCUUCUGUCUCACCCGUCCAUGCACUCACUCGCCAAUCAGCACUGCUAUGUCUUAGAGAUACAAAAAUGAAUUAAAACCCAGCCUCUGCCCUAAGGGAAGACAUAAUCUCAGAUAUAAUGGUGUAACAUUAGAGUGUCCCCUAUCAUGAGGGAAUUAGUAGCUUUGUAAAAAGAGAAAGGGAGACCCAAGUGAUGCCCUAUGACACCUCAGAACUCCAGAAAGAGUCCCCAGAGGUAAGAAAUGGUUGGUCCCUUAACCUUGGACAUUCCAAGAUAUUAAACUUGUGAGAGGAAUGAGACUUUACUCUUUAUAAAUUAUCCAGUCUGUGGUGUUAAGAUAUAGCAACGGAUACAAACUAAAACAAGUGCGCUGGGCUUUGAUGAGUGGAUUUCAACAAGGAACAACAUGUGUACAGUUAUGCUGAGCAAGAGACUUCUGUGACCCCAGAGCCCUCUGCAGAUAGAAAGUCUUCAGCUGGGUGGAGGAAGACCGCAAUGCACUGAAGAAAGUUGAAACAAAGUUUGUCCAUGGAAACCUUGUAGCAGACCAGGAGCCCUAAAGAGCAGUAACAAGGAUGCUGAGUUUCUCUGAUUCCGGGGAAGAUCUGUGUAGCAGCUGUGUGGACACUGUUGCCAGGUAGGAGUGCCACCUUCAGAAGAGUCAUUCCUUGCCCCUUUGUGUCUCACCCUGCUUUUAGACAAAAGGAGAAGAGAGAUGAAUGAAAGAUCUCAGAGGCAGGUUCAAGAAGGACACAGACUUACAGUUGGGAGGACGGGGUGUAUUAGAAGAGUUAUUAACACCAUGGAUGGACAGACUCCUGAGGAGAGCUCAGGGCUCCAUCAUCAGUGACAGACAACAUGGGAAAGUCUCUGAAAGGAAGAAUCAUGGCCCACGUAGCAGAAGUCAGGUCAAGGGACAAAUGUCCUCUUCACUUAGCUCUCUGGAGACGAGUGAUUUCCCAUCAUAAACCUGCAAGCUCUCUGAUUCCCACGCAGGAGACCAGAAAGGAGUGAGGAACAAGAUAUGUGAUACCAAUACCUACUUUGAUAUAAACUCACCCCUAAAUCCCAGAACCUAAAAGUCUGUUCAUUAGUGAUCCACAGACAGUGGGGUAACUGUAUCCGCAAGAGGUAGGGCUGCUUCAGGCAUAGUGUGAUCUGAGCAGCAGUGUGCUAACAUAAGACACUUGGGUUGAGUAUCUCUCUCCAGCCUGCUCUCCCCAGCCAGGUAGCACUUAUUUCUCCAUACAUAGCUGAGAGAUAGGAGUUAACCACGCUCUCUACUACACUCACCCCUGCUCACACCCACAACAACAAAACAUUAUCUCAUAAUUUCCAGGGCAGUGCAAAAACCUGCCCUUGCCAAAAAUGGUCUGAUCUUCUCUCUGAUCCAUCUUGUAAACAACUGUCUGUGCAGCCAAGAACAAAACAAAAGGAGCUGCGAUGUGAACUGCAGAUGUCUGCUUCCCCUGGGGAAGGGAGCACCCUCUGGGUGAGUUCUUCCUCUCAGCUAGCUCACUUUGAUCUUUCUUUGAUGGUCACUUCUCCCAAAGGCCAGCAUGGUUCUGUCGUUGUUUUAAGUCAACCUACCCGCGCCACCCCCCCCCCCUUCUCUGCAGGAGAGGAGUAUCCCCCCCACCCCCAAGCUUGUUACUUCCAUCCACAACUAUUUCUAGGGUGCUGAAACUGUAGCUCAGUGGGAGAAUGCCUGUGCUUAGCACGUGUGCAGCUCUUGGUUUAAUCUCCAACAGUGCUAAAAAGAAAAAGAGAAUUCUAUACUUAGAUGAGGAACUAUUUUUUUUUUUUUGAUCUAUGAGAAGUGACAGACGGACAGAUACUAUGCUUGUUAGUGAGUGCCAGAGAGAAGCCAGAUUUAUUCAACCAGCUUGAUUAGUGAGUUCCCGACAGCUACUAGAACACCAAUCACGCUUCGGGGCAUCCACGUCUAUUUUUGUCAUGGUGAGCCCCCACAGAGAGUCCAGAUAAUGUUUGUUAUCUUUAUCAACACUCUCCAAAUGUUUAGACAAAUAAAGAUGUUGUUUGAAAUCC